UACGUAGGGUGCAAGCAUUAUCCGGAGUGACUGGGCGUAAAGAGUUGCUUAGGUGUUUUAAUAAGUGGAUAGUGAAACCUGGUGGCUCAACCAUACAGACUAUUAUUCAAACUGUUAAACUCGAGAGUAGCAGAGGUAACUGGAAUUUCUUGUGUAGGAGUGAAAUCCGUAGAUAUAAGAAGGAACACCAAUGGCGUAGGCAGGUUACUGGGCUAUUUCUGACACUAAGGCACGAAGGCGUGGGGAGCGAACCGG
Molecule: ribosomal RNA, 255 nt
Filed under: uncultured bacterium
Lineage: Bacteria
Description: partial 16S ribosomal RNA
Rfam family: Bacterial small subunit ribosomal RNA
Source: RNAcentral